This 486-nucleotide ribosomal RNA is filed under the name Junonia iphita (chocolate pansy). RNAcentral's name for it is "partial 16S ribosomal RNA". The stretch from base 352 to 486 matches the Rfam family "Bacterial large subunit ribosomal RNA", at positions 2473 to 2608 of the family's 2925-position model. The record is from RNAcentral. Lineage: Eukaryota; Metazoa; Arthropoda; Insecta; Lepidoptera; Nymphalidae.
UGUUUUAAUAUUAAAGGGCUGCAGUAUAUUGACUGUACAAAGGUAGCAUAAUCAUUAGUCUUUUAAUUGGAGACUUGUAUGAAAGAUUUGAUGAGAUAUAAACUGUCUCUGAUUUAUUAUUAGAAAUUAAUUUUUUAGUUAAAAAGCUAAAAUAAUAUUAAAAGACGAGAAGACCCUAUAGAGUUUUAUAUUUUAUUUAUUUAAUAUUUAAUAUAUAAUUAAAUUAUAUUAAAUAAAUAAAAUAUUGUAUUGGGGUGAUAAAAAAAUUUAAUAAACUUUUUUUUAAAAAUGAACAUAAAUAAGUGAUUAAUUGAUCCAUUAAUAAUGAUUAAAAGAAAAAAUUACCUUAGGGAUAACAGCGUAAUGUUUUUUUUUAGUACAAAUAAGAAAAAAAGUUUGCGACCUCGAUGUUGGAUUAAGAUAAAAUUUAAAUGCAAAAGUUUAAAAUUUUGAUCUGUUCGAUCAUUAAAAUCUUACAUGAUCUGA